Molecule: transfer RNA, 63 nt
Filed under: Gramastacus insolitus
Lineage: Eukaryota; Metazoa; Arthropoda; Malacostraca; Decapoda; Parastacidae
Description: tRNA-Thr
Source: RNAcentral
GUUUUAAUAAUUUAAAAAAAAAUACUGGUCUUGUAAAUCAGAAAUGAAAGCAUUCUUAAAACU